Epinephelus fuscoguttatus (brown-marbled grouper) is the source of this 649-nucleotide long non-coding RNA. RefSeq lists it as uncharacterized. Lineage: Eukaryota; Metazoa; Chordata; Actinopteri; Perciformes; Serranidae. The record is from RefSeq and is a predicted model, not a curated record. The transcript has 3 exons.
ACCAGCUGAACUGCUGUUGUUCACCGUGGACAAAAAAGGUUAGUGUGAGCUUAUUAUCAACCAUUUUUUCUUUGAUAUGUUUAUUUUGCUAAGGUUUCUUUUCUUACUAACCAUUUUUGACUUUCCUCUUAUCUCACUCCACCACCUGAGCUGCUGUUGUUCACCGUGGACGAAGAAAGUAAGUAUGAACCUCUAACUUAGAGAAAAAGUGACCUAGACUAGAAUUCAAUAUAUCAAGACAGAAAGUAAUGCAUUAUAUUGUGUGAACCAGCUACAUACUGUAUACAAUGCCUGUUUACUCAUAUUUCACUUAUUUAGUAACUCGAAAUAAUUUGCUCACUCAUUUAUUGUUCCCUCUCUUACUCCACCAUCUGAGCUGCUGCUGUUCACUGUGGACUAAAGGGAUUAUGUGCAGCUCCAACACACACAGGAAGCAGCAAAGGAGGAAGACCCAGACUCAGUAUUUUUGCAGAGCAUCCAAGGUUACCUUGACGACAGAAAAGAAAUGAUUACAUCAUUUCAUGGUUACAAUGAUUACAGGACAAGCUGGAGAGCAGACAGAGGGCAGGACUCCUCUUGUGUCCAGGGGCCCCUGAGAUGGGAUGUGAACCAAACUGCACAAAGCCAGCAUCACAACCAUCCACUGAAC